Molecule: ribosomal RNA, 577 nt
Filed under: uncultured eukaryote
Lineage: Eukaryota
Description: eukaryotic LSU rRNA
Rfam family: 5.8S ribosomal RNA (bases 183-336)
Source: RNAcentral
AACAAGGUCUCCGUCUGGUGAACCAGCGGAGGGAUCAUUAUCGAGUUAUUCAACUCCCAAACCCUAUGUGAACUUACCACUUGUUGCUUCGGCGCGCGCUUCGGCGCCGCCGAGGACACUUAAACUCUUUGUUUUUAUAAGCAUUUCUGAGUGGCCGAAAGGCAAAAAUACAAAUGAAUCAAAACUUUCAACAACGGAUCUCUUGGUUCUGGCAUCGAUGAAGAACGCAGCGAAAUGCGAUAAGUAAUGUGAAUUGCAGAAUUCAGUGAAUCAUCGAAUCUUUGAACGCACAUUGCGCCCGCCAGCAUUCUGGCGGGCAUGCCUGUUCGAGCGUCAUUUCAACCCUCGAGCCCGACUCUUUUGAGGACGGCUCGGCGUUGGGGGACGGCAGACUCCCCCCGGCAUCUCGCCGGGGACGCCGCCCCCGAAAUCUAGUGGCGGCCCUCCGAGGCGACCUCUGCGUAGUAACUUGUUCUCGCACCGGAAAGCUCAGAGCGGCCACGCCGUAAAACCCCAACUUUUUUCAGGUUGACCUCGAAUCAGGUAGGACUACCCGCUGAACUUAAGCAUAUCAAUA